RNAcentral lists this ribosomal RNA (253 nucleotides) under uncultured bacterium. RNAcentral describes it as "partial 16S ribosomal RNA". It matches the Rfam family "Bacterial small subunit ribosomal RNA", at positions 524 to 776 of the family's 1533-position model. The record is from RNAcentral.
GACGGAGGAUGCAAGUGUUAUCCGGAAUCACUGGGCGUAAAGCGUCUGUAGGUGGUCAAAUAAGUCAACUGUUAAAUCUUGAGGCUCAACCUCAAAAUCGCAGUCGAAACUAUUAGACUAGAGUAUAGUAGGGGUAAAGGGGAUUUCCAGUGGAGCGGUGAAAUGCGUAGAGAUUGGAAAGAACACCAAUGGCGAAAGCACUUUACUGGGCUAUUACUGACACUGAGAGACGAAAGCUAGGGUAGCAAAUGGG